RNAcentral lists this transfer RNA (65 nucleotides) under Xixuthrus sp. ANIC_25-067096. RNAcentral describes it as "tRNA-Tyr". It matches the Rfam family "tRNA". Rfam says of the family: Transfer RNA (tRNA) molecules are approximately 80 nucleotides in length. Their secondary structure includes four short double-helical elements and three loops (D, anti-codon, and T loops). Further hydrogen bonds mediate the characteristic L-shaped molecular structure. tRNAs have two regions of fundamental functional importance: the anti-codon, which is responsible for specific mRNA codon recognition, and the 3' end, to which the tRNAs corresponding amino acid is attached (by aminoacyl-tRNA synthetases). tRNAs cope with the degeneracy of the genetic code in two manners: having more than one tRNA (with a specific anti-codon) for a particular amino acid; and 'wobble' base-pairing, i.e. permitting non-standard base-pairing at the 3rd anti-codon position. Lineage: Eukaryota; Metazoa; Arthropoda; Insecta; Coleoptera; Cerambycidae. The record is from RNAcentral.
GGUAAAGUGGCUGAAGUGUAGGCAAUAAACUGUAAAUUUAUUUAUGGAAUAAAUUCCCUUUACCA